RNAcentral lists this ribosomal RNA (67 nucleotides) under Bacillus velezensis A3. Its description in RNAcentral is "Sphingobacterium sp. A3 partial 16S ribosomal RNA". It matches the Rfam family "Bacterial small subunit ribosomal RNA", at positions 1 to 66 of the family's 1533-position model. Lineage: Bacteria; Bacillati; Bacillota; Bacilli; Caryophanales; Bacillaceae. The record is from RNAcentral.
UUUAUCGGAGAGUUUGAUCCUGGCUCAGGACGAACGCUGGCGGCGUGCCUAAUACAUGCAAGUCGAG